Long non-coding RNA from Sphaeramia orbicularis (orbiculate cardinalfish), 212 nucleotides. RefSeq lists it as uncharacterized. The record is from RefSeq and is a predicted model, not a curated record. The transcript is spliced from 2 exons. Lineage: Eukaryota; Metazoa; Chordata; Actinopteri; Kurtiformes; Apogonidae.
AACUGAAGAAAACAUGGGGUGGUCUAAUAAUUUUUUCCGUGACUGUAUGUCAAUUCAUCCUUAUACUAAACUUAUCUGCCUGUCACUGAGCUGUACAUCAUUCACUAUAAUCAUAUUUAGUCAACAGAAGUUUGAUUCAGAAUCGUCAGUCGGCAACGCUACAAAAACAUUAAAUAAAUUUAGAUCUGUCAAAGUACGAAUAUUAAAAAAAA